Molecule: ribosomal RNA, 272 nt
Filed under: Escherichia coli
Lineage: Bacteria; Pseudomonadati; Pseudomonadota; Gammaproteobacteria; Enterobacterales; Enterobacteriaceae
Description: partial 23S ribosomal RNA
Rfam family: Bacterial large subunit ribosomal RNA
Source: RNAcentral
AUCUGCGAUAAGCGUCGGUGAGGUGAUAUGAACCGUUAUAACCGGCGAUUUCCGAAUGGGGAAACCCAGUGUGUUUCGACACACUAUCAUUAACUGAAUCCAUAGGUUAAUGAGGCGAACCGGGGGAACUGAAACAUCUAAGUACCCCGAGGAAAAGAAAUCAACCGAGAUUCCCCCAGUAGCGGCGAGCGAACGGGGAGCAGCCCAGAGCCUGAAUCAGUGUGUGUGUUAGUGGAAGCGUCUGGAAAGGCGUGCGAUACAGGGUGACAGCC